GGCUUUAUAGUUCAACGGAUAGAACGAGGGUUUCCGAAGCCCUAAAUUCAGGUUCGAUUCCUGAUAAAGCCA
RNAcentral lists this transfer RNA (72 nucleotides) under bacterium. RNAcentral describes it as "tRNA-Arg". It matches the Rfam family "tRNA". Rfam says of the family: Transfer RNA (tRNA) molecules are approximately 80 nucleotides in length. Their secondary structure includes four short double-helical elements and three loops (D, anti-codon, and T loops). The record is from RNAcentral. RNAcentral also lists the same sequence under 1 other name.